Long non-coding RNA from Argiope bruennichi, 681 nucleotides. RefSeq lists it as uncharacterized. The record is from RefSeq and is a predicted model, not a curated record. The transcript has 3 exons. NCBI's taxonomy places the organism in Eukaryota, Metazoa, Arthropoda, Arachnida, Araneae, Araneidae.
AUUCGGUUGUUGAUUUUUAAAAGCGUUUUUAGCUUUCGGUACUACUCAUUAUAAAGAAAAAUUAAUGAAUGACAUUACCAUAUUUUUCUAUUCAACUGUAUUUCAAAGCAUUGAAUGAGUUCAUUGGCAUUUCCAUUAAGGAAGAAUUGCUUUCUUCUGUUCGACACGCAUUCUGGAAUAAAUAGGAAUGGAUGCCUGUAUCUUCUGUACAACAUUAGUCUUUACUGUAUCACGUUCUGAUUGUCCAUCAAGCCUCUUAGAAUGAAUUCUAAAUUGCUUUCAAGGAAUACAGUGCAAAGAAGCAAGUUUUUAAAAAGCAACCUAGGAUUUUGAUACAUUUCUUAAACAAUUUCUUGUAGGACAUUUUUAAUGGCUUCUGAAAGACUUGAUAUCACCAAGUUUCUUCAAGAAUACUUAAACUGCUGAGGAGUCAUUAUCAAGGCCGAAAUGAAGGUACCCAGAGUCUUUGCAAAGCUUUAUUUUUAUUACAAAUCCAGUUUAUGAAUGCUAUGACCAGAGAACAGUAAUUAUAUAUUUGAACUUCUAAAAUUAUACAACUAAACAUUCGUCUCAAACAUAUUAUAAAUGCAGAUGCUCUACUUACGUUAAUGUUAUAUGUAUAAACUUUUACUAUUUCGCAACAAAGUUGCGGAAAUUGCUUGAAGAAUUUCUGACUGAAAC